Poecilia reticulata (guppy) is the source of this 396-nucleotide non-coding RNA. The record is from the annotation of a RefSeq genome assembly. Lineage: Eukaryota; Metazoa; Chordata; Actinopteri; Cyprinodontiformes; Poeciliidae.
AUGUUCUCUGUAGCUCUGCUGCUGCUGCUGUUUGCUGCAUCCUGUGUGAACUGUGAACAGCUGACACAACCAGACUCUGUGACUGUGCAGCCAGGUCAACGUCUGACCAUCAGCUGUCAGGUCUCUUAUUCUAUCAGCACCUACUGGACAGCUUUUAUCAGACAGGCUGCUGGGAAAGGACUGGAGUGGAUUGGGGACAAUGAUAGUUAUGGAAAUGAAAACUACAAAGAGUCACUGAAGAACAAGUUCAGUAUCGAUGUAGACACCAAUAGUAACACAGUGACUCUAAAUGGACAGAAUAUGCAGCCUGAAGACUCUGCUGUGUAUUACUGUGCCAGACGGGACACAGUGACACAAACCAGCAGCAGAGCUGUACGAAAACCCCUCACAACCUGA